RNAcentral lists this long non-coding RNA (1204 nucleotides) under Cyanistes caeruleus (blue tit). RNAcentral's name for it is "lncRNA (ENSCCEG00000013459.1)". The record is from RNAcentral. Lineage: Eukaryota; Metazoa; Chordata; Aves; Passeriformes; Paridae.
CUUCUCUUUCACAGAAAACAGUAUGUGAUAUUUUUCUCUAUUCUCUUUGUGUAUGUGAAACCUUUGGGACUCUCACUGCUGUCACCUGUAGGACAAACAUUCCCCAAAUUCUUUUUCCUGAGUGUUCAUUCUGCUGCUGAGUAAAUACCUUUCUUGAUUCCCCACUUUAUAUGGAAUAUGCAUCCCUUCCAAGGCACCUCACUGCAAAUCAGCUGUAAUGGAAGCCCUCAUCCCAGGUUUUAUUGGGAGGAUAAACACUCCAGCAGUUCCCUUCUAAAGUGUUUACCUGGCUUUUUCACAGCUGACUCGGUGAAUCAGAGCCUUUUAAGACAGUCUGCCUGGCAUUUUGUCACUAAUCUCUGCAAAGCUUUUCUAAUUCUCAUGUGGUUAAUAGUAUAGGAUGCUAUUCAUUGCGGAAAAAGUAAAACAUUUUUUCUGACUUGCUGUCUAAUUUAGAUAUUAAAUUGCUAAAUCAAAUUUCUUUCUGGGUUUAGUCUCAAAGGCUAAUAGAGCCAGUAUUGAACUGCAAGAAGUUGAUGGACAAAGAAAAUACCACUUAACUCCUUCUCCUUGCCUUUAUGUGAAAACCAAACCAAAAUAUUUUAAUUUGCAGAGAUUCAACAAUGUCAUUAAAUUGCUGAAAAACCAUUUCCCUCCAACAGGUUAUUGUCAUAUUGCUGAGACCAAAAGGCAUCAAGUCCUCUGGGGUCUUGUUGCCUCUUCUAAAACAGUAUAAGCCAUUCUAAGACACAUGCUCAGCUAGCAAUUGGGUGAGAUGAUGGCUGAUUGGAAUUGCAUACAUGAGGCCAAACCUCACAAAUAACAGAAGUGCAGACGUUGUGUUGCUUUAGACUACAUUGUCACCUGCUUCUUCAGGAACCUCGCUAAAGAAGACAAUAAGACCCUCACAGGUAGCGACAUUUCACAGGAUGGACAGAGAUCAUUCCACUUCAUGCAGCAGAACCCAGAAGUUCUACAGCAGGUGGUGAGCUGCCGGGGGGUUUGUGUGUUUGUGCUGUGCCAGAUGGGUCUGGCUGUGCCUCCCACCACUCUGGGCUGGACUCUGACACCUGUCCUGAGGGGGAAGCUGGGGCUGGCCUCUAUGGCACAUCGCAAGGAGCCCUUUACUGGACGCUGGGGAAGAAGGACAUUUCUGAGUCACGUGAGCUGGGAAAGCUUCUGGUGGCAGUCAUUUCACUGCUGA